AUGGGUACACCAGAGGGUCCAUGCCAGGGUACCCAGAGCUACCCAAGUGGGAGGGCGACUAGCGUCGGGGAGUCUAAAGACCUCCCCAAACUAGUCCGGGAGGUUGUCGUGGCACCAAUCGCCGCCAACCACCUCCCGGAAGCAACUCCAGAGGAACUACACUACAGGGCACCGGAAGAAGAUAUGGUUACAGUCUUCCGGUACCAAACAAAUGGGGCAGAGGCCAUCCCCAGGGCCAUUGCAUUUUCGGACCUCCAUGCCCGAAGGGAGGCGGCCUCGGACCCAUUGCCAGAGAAAUAUGCGGAUUUUUAA
RNAcentral lists this ribosomal RNA (312 nucleotides) under Triticum aestivum (bread wheat). RNAcentral's name for it is "partial small subunit ribosomal RNA". Lineage: Eukaryota; Viridiplantae; Streptophyta; Magnoliopsida; Poales; Poaceae. The record is from RNAcentral.